Misgurnus anguillicaudatus (oriental weatherfish) is the source of this 1954-nucleotide non-coding RNA. The record is from RefSeq and is a predicted model, not a curated record. NCBI's taxonomy places the organism in Eukaryota, Metazoa, Chordata, Actinopteri, Cypriniformes, Cobitidae.
UAUAUUUUCAUAACAGUGUCUAAAAUAUAACAUUUUAAAUAUAAAUUUGAAGAAUACCAUUAAUAAUAAAAUAACAUCAAGAAGUUAAUAUGUUUCAUUCAUACAAGUCAGUUUGGAAUGUUUGAUCCUGACAAAAAAGAAGCGAGGUAAUCUCGCGAGAUUACACGAUACUGGAGAGUUUAACGGCUGUCUGCGUGAUCAUCGAGAAGUGCAUCGAGGUAAGGAAAUAUCAAGUCAAUAAGUCAAUGUUUAAAACGCGUAACAUAAUUUUAUUCACACAUAAAAUGUUGUAUGACAAAAAGCACGAUGCCAAUUAAUUGUGUUUUUCUGUAAGUUGUGAACGUAUCCGUUAUAAUGGUUGAUUCGCUAUUCCACGGGAUGUUCCCGCCGAAAUUGGACUACGGUUACAUUAAUAUGAUUGUAAUAUGAAUAUUAAUCAAUUAAUAUUAUAUCGGGUGUUAUCAACUUAACCACAUUGUUGUUUAUUGCUUCAGAAAGCACAUAAAUGUAAGGGCUUUUUGGACAACUGUUCGGUAGAAAAGCGUUGAUAUCGUAGUUCAGUCAGUUUAUCCGAGAGGUCUUACAGGCGCCACAGACACCUCUGUCAGAGUCAUUUGUAAAGAGGAGCAGCACGGCAGCUGGAUGAGUGCGGUCAGUUAAUUAAUGCUGCUUGCUUAAUUUCGUGUUACUGAUUAAGUGUUUAUACUUAAAGUUAGAUGAUAUGUUGGUGUUUUAUGGCUCGCGGAUUUGCAAUAACUGCAUUUAUCAGGCAAUCACACGUUACAUCACACGCUUAUGCUUGUACCUGCGGUCGCUCGCGCUGUAUCCAUGAUUUAAAGCAGAGAAUAGACUCUUAACUCCUUUGUAAGAAAAAGUCAAGCAGUAGCCCUUCAAAUUAAACAUAGUGAUGGUGAUCUUGUCAAUGCUGAGAUUUUAAUGCAUCAACAGCCAUUACAUUUGUCUGGAUCAGGAUUGAACAAGAAACAGACAGCAAGAGUUGUCAGGUCAGAAACGUGAUGACACACAAACAUAAGAAACUUCACAGGCGGCAAUCUCUUUUUCCACCGGUGGGUGCUCAUCACAACCUCUAGCUUUACUGGACGCCAGGUGCUCUGGAGCGCUCAAAAGCUUUGAAGAGGUGGAAAGCAGUGCAGUCAUGUUUUCGUGUGAUUUUAGAUGCGAAUUGUAAAGUUAAAGGCAGAUCACCAUGCAACUUGGUGAAGUCAUGUGUCUUUCCAGAUGCCAAAAUCUGUACCCCUCAAAAAGACUUUAUUAAAUGCCAUGAUAGCCAAGAUGAGCCUGAAGAGGAGAUUUGGGAAGAUGCUGUUUCAUAAGUCUUUGCUUUGCCAGAUUAUCUGUGGUAGGGGUGUCUGCCAACGUGAUGCCUUGCUGGUCUGGUUUGAGUUUGAAGUCUCUCACAGACAGUCCAGAAGGUCUGGAGUCCAUCUUAGCUUUCAUUGAUGCUGUCAUCAUAUUUUAAGUGCAUAAGCCAGAAUGGAUAGGUGGUGGUGGUCAUAAAAAGACUGUCAACUAAACCAACAACAAAAUUCAUAUUUGCAGUAAUAAAUAAAAUGACUUUUAAACAUGAUUUUGUUUUCUUAUUUUAUGAUUUUACUUUAUAUUUGGAAUAUUCCACUUUUGCACUACUAACUGGAAACUGUUUGAAAGAAUGUGUUUUUAUCUAUAAAAGAUAAAAUUCAAUGGUGAAUCAACGUUAAAAUGCCGGCUGGAAUAUCAAAAUAGCAUUAAAAUGACAUCAACAUCAUAACAUCCUGAUGUCAAAUAGAUGUAGAAUUGACAUCAAAAUGACAUCAGCAGAGGUCAAAAUCUUGACAUCAAAUUGACAUCGACACUUUGACGUCAAAAUGACUUUCAUUUUUGACCUAUUCUGUGACGUAAUUUUGACGUCAAUGUUUGAUGUCAAAUUGAUGUUAAAUUGACAUCAAAUGCCCGC